Long non-coding RNA from Entelurus aequoreus (snake pipefish), 689 nucleotides. RefSeq lists it as uncharacterized. The record is from RefSeq and is a predicted model, not a curated record. The transcript has 3 exons. NCBI's taxonomy places the organism in Eukaryota, Metazoa, Chordata, Actinopteri, Syngnathiformes, Syngnathidae.
UCCUAACACAAGCUUUAAAUUCUGUUAUUACUGUGGUUGUUCUUCCAAUGUGAAGUUGACUGCUUGCACCCGUUGCCACAAAGUGUAUUACUGCUCCAUGGCCUGUAAACUGAAAGCAUGGGAUGAGAGACAUAAGGACGAGUGUCAGCGGGAAGCGGGCGCUGCUUUCAAUUUUGACAAAGGACCCAUGUUGACACGCAGAAGACCUUUUCAUGUCCAGUUUGGACCCACAGUCCUGGUUUUUGGAGACAGCAUCUCAGAGUGGCAAACUAUUAACCUGAAGGAAAACUACAGCUUCAACUGAUGGCGAAUCUACCCAGCCAUCCAUUUUCUAGACCACUACCACCUCUGAAAACACUUGUCUCCAGUCCCCAAGUACCAUCAUAAAGACCAACACUCAAAUAAAAUAGCUUAGUAAAAACAAGACAGGUUUGAUUUAACAAGUAUAUUUAAUACUGUAACAUUACACACAGUUUGAACAGUAACACUGUGUUUGAAUAUAGGAAAAUAAAGCACUCUAGCUAAAUAAUGAAUCAAAUCAAAUUAAUUGCACAUCAAAGUAAACAUUGUACUAAAAUGAAUAUAUUAUCAAUAAUAAAAAUAAUAUUAUGUGUGUUCUGCAUGUUGAUUGGCUGGGAAAGGAUGGGCGUAAGUGGACAAUGCGGAGAACAUUCGGUUCCCACGUGUGC